This 427-nucleotide ribosomal RNA is filed under the name uncultured bacterium. RNAcentral's name for it is "bacterial SSU rRNA". It matches the Rfam family "Bacterial small subunit ribosomal RNA", at positions 355 to 774 of the family's 1533-position model. The record is from RNAcentral.
UGGGGAAUUUUGGACAAUGGGCGAAAGCCUGAUCCAGCCGUGCCGCGUGAGUGAAGAAGGCCUUCGGGUCGUAAAGCUCUUUCAGGUGGAAAGAAAACGCAUAGGUUAAUACCUUGUGCGGAUGACGGUACCAUCAGAAGAAGCACCGGCUAACUACGUGCCAGCAGCCGCGGUAAUACGUAGGGUGCGAGCGUUAAUCGGAAUUACUGGGCGUAAAGCGUGCGCAGGCGGUUAUGUAAGACAGAUGUGAAAUCCCCGGGCUCAACCUGGGAAUUGCAUUGGAGACUGCAAGGCUAGAAUCUGGCAGAGGGGGGUAGAAUUCCACGUGUAGCAGUGAAAUGCGUAGAUAUGCGGAGGAACACCGAUGGCGAAGGCAGCCUCCUGGGCCAGUACUGACGCUCAUGCACGAAAGCGUGGGGAGCAAACA